UAAUAUGAGAUAUCUCAUGGAUACUCCCUGGACUUAAGCAUAUCAUUAAGGGAAGGAAAAGAAACUAACUAGGAUUCCGUUAGUAGUGGCGAAUGAACACGGAAGAGCUCCAAUGGUAAAGCCUAAGUGCUGUUGUAAUGUAGCCUCCGAAAACAUUCUGGAAAGGAUGACCACAGUGGGUGAUAGUCCCAGAGGAGGAUGUAAAGAAUAGAGUAGUGCUGCUUGGUAGUGCAGUAUGAAGAGGAGGUAGAAACUUCUAAAGCUAAAUACAGACGGAUACCGAUAGAGAAGAAGUAGUGCGAACGAAAGUUGAAAAGAUCUCAUCUAGAGAAUGAAAAGUGAAAGUAUUAGGGCGUAAGCUGAUGACAUCAGACCCGUAUUGAAACACGGACCAAGGAGACUUUGAGUAUAGCGAGGCGAAGGAUGUGAAGUCCCCACCCGCGAGAAAUCUACAAGUUAUACUGAUAGGACCCGAAAGGCAGUGAACUAUACCUGCUCUGCUUGACGCCACGGCAAACCGUGGUUGAGGAGCUAAGUCGUAUUGAUGUUCAACUCAUUGACAGGAAGUGGGUAUAGGGGCGAAAGACCAAUCGAACUGCCUGGUAGCUGGUUCCGGCCGAAAUGUCUCUCAGGACAGCGGUGUCUGCGAAUAGGAAGAUGCGGUAGAGAGGAUGUCGACCUUGUCAACAAACUCCGAAUGCGUCAUUGUGUUGCGAUUGCAUCCAACAUGAUCAUCUAUAAGACACUAGUGGGCGCCUUGUGGUAAGCAUGCGGCGCAAAAAGGGAUGAACCUAGCAGUGGGGUAAGGUGCCUAAAGGAAAACAAAGAGAAAAAGCGUUUGGCAGAUUAGGACAGUGGGGCGGUGGCCAUGGAGGUCGGCAUCCGCUAAGAAACGUGUUACAACGUACCCACCGAAUCUGCGAAUGCUGAAAAUGGAUUGCCGCCAUUUUACAUAACGAAACCCCAAGUGGAUAAAUCAACGUUAAUCGGCAAGUUUGACAUCUUAGAAAAACCCUCCGAGAAGUGUGUAGCAAUAUUUUAAAGGAACAAAUUCUUGAUAUACUAACCUCUAUUAUUUGUUCACAAGUGGAGACGGUUUUUCUCUUUUGAAAAUGGGAAGAUAUAAAAUCCAAUAAUACGGGCAAAUUU
RNAcentral lists this non-coding RNA (1149 nucleotides) under Enterocytozoon bieneusi H348. RNAcentral's name for it is "Eukaryotic large subunit ribosomal RNA". It matches the Rfam family "Eukaryotic large subunit ribosomal RNA", at positions 1 to 1563 of the family's 3401-position model. Lineage: Eukaryota; Fungi; Microsporidia; Enterocytozoonidae. The record is from Rfam by way of RNAcentral.